CGCUGGCGGCGUGCCUAAUACAUGCAAGUCGAACGGUCUUUCUAUGGAAGCUUGCUUCCACUGAGAAGAUAGUGGCGAACGGGUGAGUAACACGUGGGUAACCUGCCCAUAAGAGGGGGAUAACAUCCGGAAACGGGUGCUAAUACCGCAUAGUUUUCUUGAUCGCAUGAUUGAGAAAGGAAAGACGGCCUUUGUGCUGUCGCUUACGGAUGGACCCGCGGCGUAUUAGUUAGUUGGUGAGGUAACGGCUCACCAAGACGAUGAUACGUAGCCGACCUGAGAGGGUGAUCGGCCACAUUGGGACUGAGACACGGCCCAAACUCCUACGGGAGGCAGCAGUAGGGAAUCUUCCGCAAUGGACGAAAGUCUGACGGAGCAACGCCGCGUGAGUGAAGAAAGGUUUUCGGAUCGUAAAACUCUGUUGUCAGAGAAGAACAAGUUGGAGAGUAACUGCUCCAGCCUUGACGGUAUCUGACCAGAAAGCCACGGCUAACUACGUGCCAGCCGCUGC
RNAcentral lists this ribosomal RNA (511 nucleotides) under uncultured bacterium. Its description in RNAcentral is "bacterial SSU rRNA". It matches the Rfam family "Bacterial small subunit ribosomal RNA", at positions 34 to 518 of the family's 1533-position model. The record is from RNAcentral.